This 253-nucleotide ribosomal RNA is filed under the name uncultured bacterium. RNAcentral's name for it is "partial 16S ribosomal RNA". It matches the Rfam family "Bacterial small subunit ribosomal RNA", at positions 524 to 776 of the family's 1533-position model. The record is from RNAcentral.
GACGUAGGGCGCAAGCGUUGUCCGGAUUUAUUGGGCGUAAAGAGCUCGUAGGCGGCUUGUCGCGUCGACCGUGAAAACCCGCAGCUCAACUGCGGGCUUGCGGUCGAUACGGGCAGGCUCGAGUUCGGUAGGGGAGACUGGAAUUCCUGGUGUAGCGGUGAAAUGCGCAGAUAUCAGGAAGAACACCAAUGGCGAAGGCAGCUCUCUGGGACGGUACUGACACUGAGACGCGAAAGCGUGGGGAGCGAACAGG